RNAcentral lists this transfer RNA (84 nucleotides) under Daphnia pulex (common water flea). It matches the Rfam family "tRNA". From Rfam's summary of the family: Transfer RNA (tRNA) molecules are approximately 80 nucleotides in length. Their secondary structure includes four short double-helical elements and three loops (D, anti-codon, and T loops). Further hydrogen bonds mediate the characteristic L-shaped molecular structure. tRNAs have two regions of fundamental functional importance: the anti-codon, which is responsible for specific mRNA codon recognition, and the 3' end, to which the tRNAs corresponding amino acid is attached (by aminoacyl-tRNA synthetases). tRNAs cope with the degeneracy of the genetic code in two manners: having more than one tRNA (with a specific anti-codon) for a particular amino acid; and 'wobble' base-pairing, i.e. permitting non-standard base-pairing at the 3rd anti-codon position. Lineage: Eukaryota; Metazoa; Arthropoda; Branchiopoda; Diplostraca; Daphniidae. The record is from Rfam by way of RNAcentral.
GGUUGUGUAGUCUAAGGGAAAAGGCGUCGGUCUUCUAUGAAAGCAGUUAUCCGAAAAUUACGGGUUCGAAUCCCGCCACGAUUA